Molecule: ribosomal RNA, 432 nt
Filed under: uncultured bacterium
Lineage: Bacteria
Description: partial 16S ribosomal RNA
Rfam family: Bacterial small subunit ribosomal RNA
Source: RNAcentral
AGCGAACGCUGGCGGCAGGCCUAACACAUGCGAGUCGAACGAACUCUUCGGAGUUAGUGGCGGACGGGUGAGUAACACGUGGGAACGUGCCUUUUGGUUCGGAAUAACUCAGGGAAACUUGUGCUAAUACCGAAUGUGCCCUUCGGGGGAAAGAUUUAUCGCCAUUAGAGCGGCCCGCGUCUGAUUAGCUAGUUGGUGAGGUAACGGCUCACCAAGGCGACGAUCAGUAGCUGGUCUGAGAGGAUGACCAGCCACACUGGGGCUGAGACACGGCCCAGACUCCUACGGGAGGCAGCAGUGGGGAAUCUUGCGCAAUGGGCGAAAGCCUGACGCAGCCAUGCCGCGUGAAUGAUGAAGGUCUUAGGAUUGUAAAAUUCUUUCACCGGGGACGAUAAUGACGGUACCCGGAGAAGAAGCCCCGGCUAACUUCGU